UUUUAUAGGAGAUUUGUAAAAAAAAUAGAGAAAAUCGCAAGAAGCAAGUAAUUCCUCAUACUAGUGGCUCUAAACCUAUCUCAAGAAGAAGACAUGAGAUGCUUUUGGAUAGUGGAAAACUGCCUAGUCGUGGAAUGUUAUAUAUUGAAACUCAUAAAAGAAAAGAUGGCUCAUUUGUAAAUGAGGCGGCAAAGGCUAUAGCGGUUA
Vigna radiata var. radiata (mung bean) is the source of this 207-nucleotide long non-coding RNA. RefSeq lists it as uncharacterized. The transcript has 2 exons. Lineage: Eukaryota; Viridiplantae; Streptophyta; Magnoliopsida; Fabales; Fabaceae. The record is from RefSeq and is a predicted model, not a curated record.